AUUGAACGCUGGCGGCAUGCUUUACACAUGCAAGUCGAACGGCAGCGCGGGGCAACCUGGCGGCGAGUGGCGCACGGGUGAGUAAUACAUCGGAACGUACCCAGAAGUGGGGGAUAACGUAGCGAAAGUUACGCUAAUACCGCAUACGUUCUACGGAAGAAAGUGGGGGACCUUCGGGCCUCAUGCUUUUGGAGCGGCCGAUGUCUGAUUAGCUAGUUGGUGAGGUAAAGGCUCACCAAGGCGACGAUCAGUAGCUGGUCUGAGAGGACGACCAGCCACACUGGGACUGAGACACGGCCCAGACUCCUACGGGAGGCAGCAGUGGGGAAUUUUGGACAAUGGGCGCAAGCCUGAUCCAGCAAUGCCGCGUGAGUGGAGAAGGCCUUCGGGUUGUAAAGCUCUUUUGUCAGGGAAGAAACGGCUGAGGAUAAUACCUUCGGCUAAUGACGGUACCUGAAGAAUAAGCACCGGCUAACUACGUG
This 482-nucleotide ribosomal RNA is filed under the name uncultured bacterium. Its description in RNAcentral is "partial 16S ribosomal RNA". It matches the Rfam family "Bacterial small subunit ribosomal RNA", at positions 30 to 507 of the family's 1533-position model. The record is from RNAcentral.